UUCCUUCUUUGCUGCUCUUGACAAAUACACUCAGCUACUAAAGCUCUAUAGAAAGAGGACGACUAGCAUUUGGGGUGAGAAGAUGGGAGAACUUCUGAUGGCAUAUGAAGAGCAGGACAAAAACAAUAUCAGUGCAGCUAGAACAGCAGCCCUGGCUGGCCUACCGCUGUACUUGAAGGAGAAUUCAUCAGAAAUCUUCAGAACUUGCAAAGUCUUUUUGUGUCCUAUCAUUUUCCCAAACUCAGUGGCUUCAUCUACUUUGCAACAAGAAAUCACUGUUACAUAAAAAAAAAA
This is a long non-coding RNA of Monopterus albus (swamp eel), 294 nucleotides long. RefSeq lists it as uncharacterized. NCBI's taxonomy places the organism in Eukaryota, Metazoa, Chordata, Actinopteri, Synbranchiformes, Synbranchidae. The record is from RefSeq and is a predicted model, not a curated record. The transcript has 2 exons.